Molecule: ribosomal RNA, 338 nt
Filed under: Burkholderia stabilis
Lineage: Bacteria; Pseudomonadati; Pseudomonadota; Betaproteobacteria; Burkholderiales; Burkholderiaceae
Description: bacterial SSU rRNA
Rfam family: Bacterial small subunit ribosomal RNA
Source: RNAcentral
GAACGGCAGCACGGGUGCUUGCACCUGGUGGCGAGUGGGAACGGGUGAGUAAUACAUCGGAACAUGUCCUGUAGUGGGGGAUAGCCCGGGAAAAGUUUAUUAUACCAUACWUUCUUUGGRUUAAGAGGGGGACUUCUCGCCCCCGCUAUAAGUGUUCCAAAUGGUUAUUUAGUUUGUGGGGUAAAGGCCUACCAAGGCGACGAUCAGUAGCUGGUCUGAGAGGACGACCAGCCACACUGGGACUGAGACACGGCCCAGACUCCUACGGGAGGCAGCAGUGGGGAAUUUUGGACAAUGGGCGAAAGCCUGAUCCAGCAAUGCCGCGUGUGUGAAGAAGG